CGCGAAAACUUUACAAUGCUGGCAACAGCGAUAAGGGAACCUCGAGUGCCAGGUUACAAAUCUGACUGUCGAGAUGCCUAAAAAGCAUUUCAUAGCAAGGGCCGGGCAAGACCGGUGCCAGCCGCCGCGGUAACACCGGCGGCUCGAGUGGUAACCGUUAUUAUUGGGUCUAAAGGGUCUGUAGCCGGCCGGAUAAGUCUCUUGGGAAAUCUGGCAGCUCAACUGUCAGGCUUUCAGGAGAUACUGUCUGGCUCGAGGCCGGGAGAGGUGAGAGGUACUUCAGGGGUAGGGGUGAAAUCUUGUAAUCCUUGAAGGACCACCAGUGGCGAAGGCGUCUCACCAGAACGGACCUGACSGCAAGGGACGAAAGCUAGGGGCACGAACCGGAUUAGAUACCCGGGUAGUCCUAGCCGUAAACGAUACUCGCUAGGUGUCGGCCACGGUGCGACCGUGGYCGGUGCCGUAGGGAAGCCGUGAAGCGAGCCACCUGGGAAGUACGGCCGCAAGGCUGAAACUUAAAGGAAUUGGCGGGGGAGCACCACAACGGGUGGAGCUUGCGGUUUAAUUGGAUUCAACGCCGG
This 581-nucleotide ribosomal RNA is filed under the name uncultured methanogenic archaeon. Its description in RNAcentral is "bacterial SSU rRNA". It matches the Rfam family "Archaeal small subunit ribosomal RNA", at positions 340 to 921 of the family's 1478-position model. The record is from RNAcentral. Lineage: Archaea; Methanobacteriati; Methanobacteriota.